GGGCUGAUUGUCACACCACGUUGCCACGCGCCCUUUCCCAGAUCUGGGGCUGCAGAAUUACUCACAGUGCUGGAAGUCUGCCUCCACCCCCGCAGCACCCCCUUGGCUGCGGUGACCCCCUAGUAUUCCCAAGGGCUGGGCCCUGUGCAUCUUCCCUCCUCAUCCCUGUGGGACUGACCCCACCAUAAUGGGACAAGGAGGAUGCUGGGUCCAAAUCUGAUCCAUGUGUGAACCAGCUGAUUUUGGAAGCCUUUCCAAGGGAAGUGACACUCCACAGCCUCCGCUCAGCCUUGGGCCUUCCUACUUAACAGCACUCUCAACUGGGGGCAACAGAGCAAAGACAAGGUUUCAAGAAUGAUGAUUCAGAAGCUUGAAGAGGACAUUUAUGGGAAAAAGCUGGCUCUAUCCCUAAUGCCACCAGGACCAGCUUAGACAAAUAACAGGGAGAGGAAGGCUCACGGGACCAGGAGGUCUGACUGGGGUGGGAUUAAGAGCUUAUGUGGGUGGACUUGGCUCUGAGGCAGUGAAAAGAGCUGGGAGCUGGUGGGUAGCGAGUGCUGAAAUCACACUAGGCACAGAACAGGCAGGCCCCAUUGGAUGGCCAGGAGGGGCAGAGCUGGAAUUUGGGACCAGCUCUUGACACAGCCCCAAUGCCUUUUUAAGUAUGUAGGCAGACACGUAAGCAGUGAGAAGCUAAGGGGGGUACUCUGCAAGGACAGAGGAGAGGAAGCAAAGCCGUGCUGCUCCCAGACCCAGCAGCCCACACAGUGCUCCCUGUCUGCUAAAGGCCCGGCCACGCACCCUACCUCCUUUCCCUAUUUCCUUUAAACUCAAGGCCCAAAUUCUGCCUGUCAGUCAUCCCAGGCGAGGGUUCGCAGGAGCUGCCCUAAAAAUCUUCCCUUGAUCUUACCUGGGCUGCUGCCUCCCACCCUUUGCUUGAGUCCUGGUUUGGCAUCCCCCUUAUGUUAGUGGGGGUGCAGGGAUAGGCAAGACACACCUUGAACUUAUAUGAAAAUCACUGAGUCCCCUUUUGGCACAUUCCUAUGAGUUAUACACACAAUUUAAUGCAAUGUGAAAGCACUCCAGCUGUGCGCUGGCCAAACGUGGUCUUGUGUACUGGGACUUGGGAGGUUUCUUGGACAUCUGAACGAAAGCUGGUGACAGUUCACACAUUUGCUUGGCCAAGGCUCCAGGGAAGGGAGAGUGGGUUGGCCAGGUGCCCUCAGGGGCCUUCUGCUGUCCCCAAGAUGGGGAGGGUCCCUGAGGUUCAAAGUUGCCGGUGAUUUGGCUCUCCUAUCAGGGGUCCUGGGCACCUCCAGAGGGGUUGGUGGCAGUUUCGCUUCCAGGGACUCCCAUCCUCAGGACCUCCUACUCCCUCCCACACUGCUUCCCCUCAGGCCCUAGGCGCCCAUCCCCUGCACCCCAACCCGCAGAAUCUACUUCCUAGGCUCAGGCUUCUCCCCAGGACGCCGCCCGCAGUUCCCGCUUUGGGAAGUGCCAAGCGCACGGCAACGUGAAGGGUUACUCCCCCUCCUACCCCGCCACCAGCCCCGUAGUCCACACCCAGCUCCAACUCCUCCUCCCCCGGGGGUGGGGUUGGGGGGAGCCGGCUCCGGAAACCCCCGCGCCCCUGCUGCUGCAGCCGCUGGCGUUUCGGAGAGGGCGGUCCGCUCUGGAGCGCGCCACUCAGGUCUGGAGCUCGAACUGCCGCCGGCGCCUGGGAAUCCCCCCCGCGAACUCCUCUGAGACCCCAUCGACUUCGGAGUCACAGCCCGGCCCCGAGCUCCCCGC
Talpa occidentalis (Iberian mole) is the source of this 1791-nucleotide long non-coding RNA. RefSeq lists it as uncharacterized. The record is from RefSeq and is a predicted model, not a curated record. NCBI's taxonomy places the organism in Eukaryota, Metazoa, Chordata, Mammalia, Eulipotyphla, Talpidae. The transcript is spliced from 3 exons.